GGCCCAGACUCCUACGGGAGGCAGCAGUGGGGAAUAUUGGGCAAUGGGCGAAAGCCUGACCCAGCAACGCCGCGUGAAGGAAGAAGGCUUUCGGGUUGUAAACUUCUUUUGACAGGGAAGAGCAGAAGACGGUACCUGUCGAAUAAGCCACGGCUAACUACGUGCCAGCAGCCGCGGUAAUACGGGGGGUGCAAGCGUUGUCCGGAAUCAUUGGGCGUAAAGCGUUCGUAGGCGGUAUGUCAAGUCUGAUGUUAAAGCCCGGGGCUCAACUCCGGUUCGGCAUUGGAUACUGGCAAACUAGAAUGUGGUAGAGGUAAAGGGAAUUCCUGGUGUAGCGGUGAAAUGCGUAGAUAUCAGGAGGAACAUCGGUGGCGAAAGCGCUUUACUGGACCAUUAUUGACGCUGAGGAACGAAAGCCAGGGGAGCAAAUGGGAUUAGAUACCCCAGUA
RNAcentral lists this ribosomal RNA (449 nucleotides) under uncultured bacterium. RNAcentral's name for it is "partial 16S ribosomal RNA". It matches the Rfam family "Bacterial small subunit ribosomal RNA", at positions 328 to 792 of the family's 1533-position model. The record is from RNAcentral.